CCAUAGCAACGGACUUGCUGAGGUUUUUGACUUCUAAAAUAGCUGCAUUGAAGCAUGCAGCAUAAUCCCAUAGAGAUUCACCUUGUUGUUGCUUCACAGUAAAAAGACUGUUAGUACUUUUCAGGUGAAUCCUGUUGUUGUUGAAACAGAUAAUGAAUAGUUUAAUUAACUAUUCAAAAGAGGAGAUAGAUCCUGACUGAAGACCAGAGAAUCAGAUUUUUAUAGAUUUUUUGAGGGU
This 238-nucleotide long non-coding RNA is filed under the name Elaeis guineensis (African oil palm). RNAcentral's name for it is "long non-coding RNA (EGUI_LNC032223)". Lineage: Eukaryota; Viridiplantae; Streptophyta; Magnoliopsida; Arecales; Arecaceae. The record is from RNAcentral.